CAGCCGCCGCGGUAAUGCAGAGGGUGCGAGCGUUAGUCGGAUUUACUGGGCGUAAAGCGUGCGUAGGCGGCUUUUUAAGUCGGAUGUGAAAUCCCCGAGCUUAACUUGGGAAUUGCAUUCGAUACUGGGAAGCUAGAGUAUGGGAGAGGAUGGUAGAAUUCCAGGUGUAGCGGUGAAAUGCGUAGAGAUCUGGAGGAAUACCGAUGGCGAAGGCAGCCAUCUGGCCUAAUACUGACGCUGAGGUGCGAAAGCAUGGGGAGCAAACAGGAUUAGAUACCCGGGUAGUCCCUGUCUCUUAUAC
Molecule: ribosomal RNA, 301 nt
Filed under: uncultured bacterium
Lineage: Bacteria
Description: partial 16S ribosomal RNA
Rfam family: Bacterial small subunit ribosomal RNA
Source: RNAcentral